UACGGGGGGGGCAAGCGUUGUUCGGAAUUACUGGGCGUAAAGGGCUCGUAGGUGGCCAACUAAGUCGGACGUGAAAUCCCUCAGCUUAACUGGGGAACUGCGUCCGAUACUGGAUGGCUUGAGUUUGGGAGAGGGAUGCGGAAUUCCAGGUGUAGCGGUGAAAUGCGCAGAUAUCAGGAGGAACACCGAUGGCGAAGGCAGUGGUCUGGGCCGAUACUGACGCUGAGGAGCGAAAGCGUGGGGAGCGAACAGG
Molecule: ribosomal RNA, 253 nt
Filed under: uncultured bacterium
Lineage: Bacteria
Description: partial 16S ribosomal RNA
Rfam family: Bacterial small subunit ribosomal RNA
Source: RNAcentral